GGGCUUAUAGCUCAGGUGGUUAGAGCAUUACACUGAUAAUGUAAAGGUCCGUGGUUCGAGUCCACGUAAGCCCACGA
This 77-nucleotide transfer RNA is filed under the name Acidobacteriota bacterium. RNAcentral describes it as "Acidobacteria bacterium tRNA-Ile". It matches the Rfam family "tRNA". From Rfam's summary of the family: Transfer RNA (tRNA) molecules are approximately 80 nucleotides in length. Their secondary structure includes four short double-helical elements and three loops (D, anti-codon, and T loops). Further hydrogen bonds mediate the characteristic L-shaped molecular structure. tRNAs have two regions of fundamental functional importance: the anti-codon, which is responsible for specific mRNA codon recognition, and the 3' end, to which the tRNAs corresponding amino acid is attached (by aminoacyl-tRNA synthetases). tRNAs cope with the degeneracy of the genetic code in two manners: having more than one tRNA (with a specific anti-codon) for a particular amino acid; and 'wobble' base-pairing, i.e. permitting non-standard base-pairing at the 3rd anti-codon position. The record is from RNAcentral. Lineage: Bacteria; Pseudomonadati; Acidobacteriota.